CCUACGGGAGGCAGCAGUGGGGAAUUUUCCGCAAUGGGCGAAAGCCUGACGGAGCAACGCCGCGUGAGGGACGAAGGCCUUUGGGCUGUAAACCUCUUUUCUCAAGGAAGAAGAUCUGACGGUACUUGAGGAAUAAGCCUCGGCUAAUUCCGUGCCAGCAGCCGCGGUAAUACGGAAGAGGCAAGCGUUAUCCGGAAUUAUUGGGCGUAAAGCGUCCGCAGGCGGCCGGUUAAGUCUGUUGUCAAAGCGUGUGGCUCAACUGCAUUGUGGCAAUGGAAACUGUGAGGCUUGAGUGCGGUAGGGGCAGAGGGAAUUCCCGGUGUAGCGGUGAAAUGCGUAGAUAUCGGGAAGAACACCAGUGGCGAAGGCGCUCUGCUGGGCCGUAACUGACGCUCAUGGACGAAAGCUAGGGGAGCGAAUGGGAUUAGAUACCCCUGUAGUCCUGGCCGUAAACGAUGAACACUAGGCGUCGGUGGAAUCGACCCCCUCUGUGCCGUAGCUAAGCGUUAAGUGUUCCGCCUGGGGAGUACGCACGCAAGUGUGAAACUCAAAGGAAUUGACGGGGGCCCGCACAGGCGGUGGAGUAUGUGGUUUAAUUCGAUGCAACGCGAAGAACCUUACCAGGGUUUGACAUGUUGCGAAUCCGAUGGAAACUUGGGAGUGCCUACGGGAGCGCAAAGACAGGUGGUGCAUGGCUGUCGUCAGCUCGUGUCGUGAGAUGUUGGGUUAAGUCCCGCAACGAGCGCAACCCUCGUGCUUAGUUGCCAGCAUUCAGUUGGGCACUCUAGACAGACCGCCGGUGAUAAACCGGAGGAAGGUGUGGAUGACGUCAAGUCAUCAUGCCCCUUACAUCCUGGGCUACACACGUACUACAAUGCUGCGGACAAAAGGGCAGCAAGCUGGCCGAGAGCUAGCCAAAUCCUCAUAAACCAGUGCUCAGUUUAAGAUUCGUAGGCUGCAACUUCGCCUACGUGAAGGCAGGAAUCGCUAGUGAUCGCAGGUCAGCCAUAACUGCCGGUGAUAACCGUUCCCGGGCCUUGACACCACCGGCCGUCACCCAUGGAGCUUGCCUAGCCCGGAAGCCGAUCCUCCACCCCUUUGGGAGAAGGACGUCCCAAGUGGCAGUGCUUGACCAGUGGGGUGAUCCUAACACGAUACGCUCACCGAGAGGUGCGGGUGGUACUCUUCAUAUGGAGAACCGGAACUCUUUUUGUGCUCCGGUUAACCCACC
This 1231-nucleotide ribosomal RNA is filed under the name uncultured cyanobacterium. RNAcentral describes it as "bacterial SSU rRNA". It matches the Rfam family "Bacterial small subunit ribosomal RNA", at positions 338 to 1533 of the family's 1533-position model. Lineage: Bacteria; Bacillati; Cyanobacteriota. The record is from RNAcentral.